This 301-nucleotide ribosomal RNA is filed under the name uncultured bacterium. Its description in RNAcentral is "partial 16S ribosomal RNA". It matches the Rfam family "Bacterial small subunit ribosomal RNA", at positions 509 to 807 of the family's 1533-position model. The record is from RNAcentral.
CAGUAGCCGCGGGAAUACGUAGGGUGCGAGCGUUAAUCGGAAUUACUGGGCGUAAAGCGUGCGUAGGCGGUGAGUUAAGUCUGCUGUGAAAUCCCCGGGCUCAACCUGGGAAUGGCAGUGGAUACUGGCUCGCUAGAGUGUGUCAGAGGAUGGUGGAAUUCCCGGUGUAGCGGUGAAAUGCGUAGAGAUCGGGAGGAAUACCGGUGGCGAAGGCGGCCCCCUGGACAAAGACUGACGCUCAGGUGCGAAAGCGUGGGGAGCAAACAGGAUUAGAUACCCCUGUAGUCCCUGUCUCUUAUAC